UAGCUCAGUUGGUAGAGCAUGGUGUUUGCAGAGCAUGGUGUUUGCAACGCCAGGAUUGUGGGUUUGAUUCCCAC
Salmo salar (Atlantic salmon) is the source of this 74-nucleotide non-coding RNA. Lineage: Eukaryota; Metazoa; Chordata; Actinopteri; Salmoniformes; Salmonidae. The record is from Rfam.